UUUAAAAGACCUAGUAAUAGGUAUGCUUUAGGAGGGGCUUGCGCCAUAUUAGUUAGUUGGUAGGGUAAUGGCCUACCAAGACGAUGAUGUGUAGCUGGACUGAGAGGUUGAACAGCCACAUUGGGACUGAGACACGGCCCAAACUCCUACGGGAGGCAGCAGUAGGGAAUUUUCGGCAAUGGAGGAAACUCUGACCGAGCAACGCCGCGUGAAUGACGAAGUACUUCGGUAUGUAAAGUUCUUUUAUCAAGGAAGAAAAGCAAAUGGCGAACCAUUUGUUUGCCGGUACUUGAUGAAUAAGCCCCGGCUAAUUAUGUGCCAGCAGCCGCGGUAAGACAUAAGGGGCAAGUGUUAUCCGGAAUUAUUGGGCGUAAAGGGUGCGUAGGCGGUCUAGUAAGUCAGUGGUGUAAUGGCAACGCUUAACGUUGUCCGGCUAUUGAAACUGCUAAACUUGAGUUAGAUAGAGGCGAGUGGAAUUCCAUGUGUAGCGGUAAAAUGCGUAAAUAUAUGGAGGAACACCAGAGGCGUAGGCGGCUCGCUGGGUCUUAACUGACGCUGAGGCACGAAAGCGUGGGGAGCAAACAGGAUUAGAUACCCUGGUAGUCCACGCCGUAAACGAUGAGUACUAAGUGUCGGGUUAAACCGGUACUGAAGUUAACACAUUAAGUACUCCGCCUGAGUAGUACGUACGCAAGUAUGAAACUUAAAGGAAUUGACGGGACUCCGCACAAGCGGUGGAUCAUGUUGUUUAAUUCGAAGAUACCCGAAAAACCUUACCAGGUCUUGACAUGUUUUUGCAAAAUGAUAGUAAUAUCGUGGAGGUUACCAGAAACACAGGUGGUGCAUGGUUGUCGUCAGCUCGUGUCGUGAGAUGUUAGGUUAAGUCCUAAAACGAGCGAAACCCUUAUCGUUAGUUGCCAGCACGUUAUGGUGGGGACUUUAACGAGACUGCCAAUGAUAAAUUGGAGGAAGGUGAGGAUCACGUCAAAUCAGCAUGCCCCUUAUGACCUGGGCUACAAACGUGAUACAAUGGCUGUUACAAAGGGUAGCUGAAACGCAAGUUCUUGGCCAAUCCCCAAAAACAGUCCCAGUCCGGAUUGAAGUCUGCAACUCGACUUCAUGAAGUUGGAAUCGCUAGUAAU
This 1142-nucleotide ribosomal RNA is filed under the name 'Rosa alba' phyllody phytoplasma. Its description in RNAcentral is "bacterial SSU rRNA". It matches the Rfam family "Bacterial small subunit ribosomal RNA", at positions 193 to 1342 of the family's 1533-position model. Lineage: Bacteria; Bacillati; Mycoplasmatota; Mollicutes; Acholeplasmatales; Acholeplasmataceae. The record is from RNAcentral.